Molecule: ribosomal RNA, 435 nt
Filed under: Acanthamoeba polyphaga
Lineage: Eukaryota; Discosea; Longamoebia; Acanthamoebidae
Description: SSU rRNA
Rfam family: Eukaryotic small subunit ribosomal RNA
Source: RNAcentral
GUAAAUUAUCACGCAUGCAGAUCCAAUAUUUCGGCCACCGAAUACAUUAGCAUGGGAUAAUGGAAUAGGACCCUGUCCUCCUAUUUUCAGUUGGUUUUGGCAGCGCGAGGACUAGGGUAAUGAUUAAUAGGGAUAGUUGGGGGCAUUAAUAUUUAAUUGUCAGAGGUGAAAUUCUUGGAUUUAUGAAAGAUUAACUUCUGCGAAAGCAUCUGCCAAGGAUGUUUUCAUUAAUCAAGAACGAAAGUUAGGGGAUCGAAGACGAUCAGAUACCGUCGUAGUCUUAACCAUAAACGAUGCCGACCAGCGAUUAGGAGACGUUGAAUACAAAACACCACCAUCGGUGCGGUCGUCCUUGGCGUCGGUCUUUCGGGGCCGGCGCGGGGACGGCUUAGCCCGGUGGCACCGGUGAAUGACUCCCCUAGCAGCUUGUGAGAA